RNAcentral lists this long non-coding RNA (981 nucleotides) under Cricetulus griseus (Chinese hamster). RNAcentral describes it as "lncRNA (ENSCGRG00015033201.1)". Lineage: Eukaryota; Metazoa; Chordata; Mammalia; Rodentia; Cricetidae. The record is from RNAcentral.
GCGAGCUCGGGAGAGGCGGGCCGGCCCCCGCUCUUGCAGGACCUGGGCACCGGGCAAAGGGUCCCCGCUCCUCGAGAGGAGGCAGGCGACGAAGAUACGGACCCACAUUCUUUCAGGGCGGCGAGACCCCUGCAGCACCCGCCCGGAGUAGGAAGGGACUGAAGAUCUGAAGCUGAUGGUGACUGGGUCUGUCUAGACGCAGCUCGGUAAAAGAGAUGGAUGGAGACGAGAGAGUGGCCGAGGGACAGGCCCGCGGGGAAGCCAGGGGAAGAGCCGAGAAGGACGUGGUCUCAAGGGCUGGGGCGGUGCCCAUGAGCCUGGCGGAUCUCUGCUGCGACCCUUCCGGGCCGCGGUCUGCACUGACUCCUUCACUCCUCUGGUGCUCCCCACCAGCUGCGGUGAUUUAUGGCUGGGCCAGGCCUGACGACCUUGGACGGAUAACUAAUGACAGACACCUCAUUUGCCUAGGGGUCCCGUUUGCCUGCGAGGCAGGGUGGGGGACAUCCCCACUUCUGCCUGUGUCAUCUGGGGACCUCUGAGAACAGACUGCUGCCUCCUCCUCUUGGUUCUGCCAACUUCUUGGUCCUUGUUUGAGAUGCCCUGAUUCCUGGUCUCCAUUAGAACCCUGGGAGAGGGUCCUGGUCCUUCCUUUGUUGGCUCCUCUUUAGCCAUUGUCAGCUCUGAGUCCAAAGAAGACACCCGAUGAAGGCUACAGAGGCAAGAGCACUCUGCUUCCAUUAAACACAAGUGACAACUGCCUUGGAGGUAUAGGGCAGUGGGAGUGGCCUCGGGCUUGAGGGUAACGGACAGUCUCUGUGACACAAGUAGACUCCUGUGUGGACAUCUAUCUGUGUAUUCUCAGAUUCAUUCAGUAGGCCAGGACCAUGUGAAUGCCAUGCGCUGGGGGUGCAGGAGCCAUACUUGGUAGCAUGUAGAACAGGUGUGUAAAGAGAGAGACUCCUUGUGGAGCAGAAACGUCAG